UACGGAGGGUGCGAGCGUUGUCCGGAAUCAUUGGGCGUAAAGGGCGCGUAGGUGGCUUCUUAAGCGUGCGGUGAAAGCCUAGGGCUCAACCCCGGGUCGGCCGUGCGAACUGGGGGGCUGGAGCACUGUAGAGGCAGGCGGAAUUCCGGGUGUAGCGGUGGAAUGCGUAGAGAUCCGGAAGAACACCGGUGGCGAAGGCGGCCUGCUGGGCAGUUGCUGACACUGAGGCGCGACAGCGUGGGGAGCAAACAGG
Molecule: ribosomal RNA, 253 nt
Filed under: uncultured bacterium
Lineage: Bacteria
Description: partial 16S ribosomal RNA
Rfam family: Bacterial small subunit ribosomal RNA
Source: RNAcentral